CUGAGCCGGAGGGGAGGGCAGGGGAGGGGAAGCAAAGGAGGAGGGGGCAGGAGAGCAGGGAGGGGGGAGCCGGGAAUGAGGAGGGAGCAGAGAGAGGGUAAAAAGAGGGCGUGGGGGGCAGAGGGCGAUCUGCCCGCGGGUUUGAGGCGAAACCUGCACCCUAGGCGUGGAGGGGGUCCAAUGACCAUACUGUUUUGAGAGGUAACUCCAUUUGGAUCCUCCCUUCCUUGAAAUGCACAGUUGUGAAUCUCAUCCUUAUGGCUACAAUGGGAUACAAACAGGGAAAGGUCUUUUUCUAAGUAUCUUGACCUUGACCUCCUUAAAAGGCACAAAGGUCCAACACGUAUCUUGGUUCAGGAUAACUGAUGGGUGAAGAAAAGAAAAUGAGGGAAACCCAUUAAAAACUGCAUGAAUUUUUCCAUACUGUAUAACUUGAUGAAUACCUUUUCUUCCCACAAAAUCCAAAGAAAAAAUUGUUGAAUAUUGUUAUGAUUUUCUAAGGGUGGAAUGUUAAAUUACAAUUAUAACUCCAACUUGCAAAAUGAAUUCACCAUUGUUAUAAACAAGGAACCAAACAUUAAAGCAUUAGAA
Long non-coding RNA from Antechinus flavipes (yellow-footed antechinus), 591 nucleotides. RefSeq lists it as uncharacterized. Lineage: Eukaryota; Metazoa; Chordata; Mammalia; Dasyuromorphia; Dasyuridae. The transcript has 4 exons. The record is from RefSeq and is a predicted model, not a curated record.